GACGAACGCUGGCGGCGUGCUUAACACAUGCAAGUCGAGCGGAAAGGCCCUUCGGGGUACUCGAGCGGCGAACGGGUGAGUAACACGUGAGCAACCUGCCCCUAGCUCUGGGAUAGCUCCGGGAAACCGGGAUUAAUACCAGAUACGACCACUUUAGACAUCUGCUGUGGUGGAAAGGAUUCCGGCUAGGGAUGGGCUCGCGGCCUAUCAGCUUGUUGGUGGGGUAACGGCCUACCAAGGCGACGACGGGUAGCCGGCCUGAGAGGGCGA
This 270-nucleotide ribosomal RNA is filed under the name uncultured bacterium. RNAcentral describes it as "partial 16S ribosomal RNA". It matches the Rfam family "Bacterial small subunit ribosomal RNA", at positions 28 to 303 of the family's 1533-position model. The record is from RNAcentral.